GUUCUUGCUGAUGCAGCAUCUUCAAGAUUCACAAAAGAUUCCAUUUUUUGGGUGUUCAUACGUUUUGAGAAUCUUGAUGAUGCUGCAGCGGCAAUUGC
Molecule: microRNA precursor, 98 nt
Filed under: Helianthus annuus (common sunflower)
Lineage: Eukaryota; Viridiplantae; Streptophyta; Magnoliopsida; Asterales; Asteraceae
Description: sRNA HanXRQr2_Chr12g0542881
Rfam family: mir-172 microRNA precursor family
About the family: mir-172 has been experimentally verified in Arabidopsis thaliana. This family is thought to target mRNAs coding for APETALA2-like transcription factors.
Source: Rfam by way of RNAcentral